Molecule: long non-coding RNA, 1658 nt
Organism: Coturnix japonica (Japanese quail)
Lineage: Eukaryota; Metazoa; Chordata; Aves; Galliformes; Phasianidae
Source: Ensembl
AUGGGGGCAGGGCGCAGCGCAGCCGCUCUAUGGGGGCGGCACUGCGGAGCUCAACGAGCCGCAAAGCGAACUAUGGGGCCGGCUUAUGGGGUGGGGGGGACCUAUAGGGUCUGGGUGCUCUAUGGGGUGUGGGUCCCCUAUGGGUGCUCUAUGGGGUGCCCUAUGGGGUGUGGGUGCUCUAUGGGGUGUGGGUGCCCUAUGGGUGCUCUAUGGGGUGCCCUAUGGGGUGUGGGUGCUCUAUGGGUGCUCUAUGGGUGCCCUAUGGGGUGUGGGUGCCCUAUGGGGUGUGGGUGCUCUAUGGGUGCUCNCCUAUGGGGUGUGGGUGCUCUAUGGGUGCUCUAUGGGUGCCCUAUGGGGUGUGGGUGCCCUAUGGGGUGUGGGUGCUCUAUGGGUGCUCUAUGGGGUGCUCUAUGGGGUCUGGGUGCCCUUUGGGUGCUCUGUGGGGUGAUGUGUGGGGUGUGGGUGCUCUAUGGGUGCCCUAUGGGGUGUGGGUGCUCUAUGGGGUCUGGGUGCUCUAUGGGGUCUGGGUACUCUAUGGGGUGUGGGUGCCCUAUGGGGUGUGGGUGCCCUAUGGGAUGCUCUAUGGGGUGUGGGUGCUCUAUGGGGUGCCCUAUGGGGUGUGGNUGCCCUAUGGGGUGUGGGUGCUCUAUGGGGUGCCUUAUAGGGUCUGGGUGCCCUAUAGGGUCUGGGUGCCCUAUGGGGUGUGGGUGCCCUAUGGAUUAUGGGUGCCCUAUGGGAUGCUCUAUGGGAUGCUCUAUGAGGUGUGGGUGCCCUAUGGGUGCCCUAUGGGUUGCCCUAUGGGCUCUGGGUGCUCUAUGGGUGCUCUAUGGGGUGAUGUGUGGGGUGGGGGUGCUCUAUGGGAUGCUCUAUGGGAUGUGGGUGCCCUAUGGGUGCUCUAUGGGGUGCCCUACGGGGUGUGGGUGCCCUAUGGGAUGUGGGUGCUCUAUGGGGUGUGGGUGCCCUAUGGGGUGUGGGUGCCCUAUGGGUGCUCUGUGGGGUGAUGUGUGGGAUGUGGGUGCUCUAUGGGGUGCCCUAUAGGGUGUGGGUGCUCUAUGGGCUGUGGGUGCUCUAUGGGCUGCCCUAUGGGGUGUGGGUGCUCUAUGGGUGCUCUAUGGGGUUCCCUAUGGGGUGUGGGUGCUCUGUGGGGUGCCCUAUGGGGUGUGAGUGCCCUAUGGGACGCCCUAUGGGGUGGGGGUGCCCUAUAGGGUGCCCUAUGGGAUAUGGGUACCCUAUGGGGAGCCCUAUGGGGUGCCCUAUGGGUUGCCCUAUGGGGAGUCCUAUAGGUGCCCUAUGGGAUAUGGGUGCUCUAUAGGUGCUCUAUGGGACGCUCUAUAGUAUAUGGGGUGCCCUAUAGGUGCCCUAUGCGAUAUGCGUGCCCUAUGGGUUGCCCUAUGGGGUGUCCUAUAGGUGCCCUAUGGGAUAUGGGUGCUCUAUGGGGUGCUCUAUGGUAUAUGGGGUGCCCUAUAGGGCGCCCUAUGGGUGCCCUAUGGUAUAUGGGUGCCCUAUAGGUGUCCUAUGGGAUAUGGGUGCUCUAUGGGGUGCUCUAUGGUAUAUGGGGUGCCCUAUAGGGUGCCCUAUGGGUGCCCUAUGGUAUAUGGGUGCCCUAUAGGUGCCCUAUGGUAUAUGGGGUGCCCUAUAGGGUGCCCUAUGGGUUCCCU